AAAAAAAAAAGAGCUUCUAGACGACUGAUUGUUUUAAAUAAGUAGCUCAAGAUCUGUCUUUUAUGCACAUUGUGGAAUGAUAUUUUAACUUUUUAGAGCAAUUUCUGAUGUUAGUUCGAAAUUUGAAGAAAGACGUCUUUUUUUUUUUUUUUCACAAGUCGUAUUUGGAUCAUCAUUGAGUGGGAGUUGAUUACAUGGUGAAGUUUGCAUUUUUUAUUUUAAACGUAAUGAAAAAUUCUCAUUCUACCCUAUUACGAAUUGCAAUCGAAUGGAAACAGCGAUUCUUGAGAAAAUUACCGUAGAUGUCCGAUGGAUUCAUGAAAAUUAAGAACAAGCCCAUUCAGAAGUGCUUGAGAUGCACGAGUUAUUUCAAUCUUCAUUGAAUUUAGGAAUAUUUUUUUCUCGAAGUAGAUAAUGUAUACAUGAUCUGGCAGGAAAGAAGUAGCUCCAACAGAUUACAGCGUGUUAGAUAAUUUGUAAAAUAUGUUACUGAGUGUAAAUACUUCCCUAUUAUGUAAGAACAUUUAUCAAAAAGUAUUUUCACAAGAAAAAGAAAAAACAUUUUGGAAUACAUUUUGUGAUUUUUCGAAAAUCUAAAUAUUGAAGUUUUCUGCUUUUUUCAACAAACUAUACUUUAUUUAUUAUCGAUUUCUAUAAUUUGUGUGAAAUAAAUAUUUUUAUAUAAAAGAUAUUUUUACUAUUAGAAACAUAUGUGUAACAUGACCUACUAUCCCAAUCUUUUU
This is a long non-coding RNA of Argiope bruennichi, 743 nucleotides long. RefSeq lists it as uncharacterized. The record is from RefSeq and is a predicted model, not a curated record. The transcript has 3 exons. Lineage: Eukaryota; Metazoa; Arthropoda; Arachnida; Araneae; Araneidae.